Myripristis murdjan (pinecone soldierfish) is the source of this 540-nucleotide non-coding RNA. NCBI's taxonomy places the organism in Eukaryota, Metazoa, Chordata, Actinopteri, Holocentriformes, Holocentridae. The record is from the annotation of a RefSeq genome assembly.
AUGACUUUGAGCUCCAUCCUCAUCUGGACUCUCCUCUGCUGCUGCUUGACAGAGUCCAGAGGCCAGGUCACAGUGACUCAGCCUGGAGCAGUGAGCGCUGCUCUGGGAGCCUCCGUCACCAUCACAUGUAAAACCAGCCAGAACGUUUAUGUUGGUACUGGCUUUGAUGAUGAUUUUAAUACUGUUAAUGUAGACCUUCUAUCUUGGUACCAACAGAAAGAUGGAGAAACUCCUAAACUCCUCAUUUACUGGGCUAAUACUCGAGAAUCAGGGAUUUCAGAUCGUUUUACAGGUAGUGGAUCAGGGAGUGACUUCACUCUGACCAUCAGUGGAGUCCAGGCUGAAGAUGCAGCAGUUUACUACUGUCAGAGUCAACAUGAAAUCAACAGUCAAAUCCUCCUCCUCCAUCCACCUCACUGUGCCCUCCGCCCGCCUCAGCAUCAUGGUGAGCAGAGCCUUCAGCCGCUCUGCUCCCAAACUCUGGAACUCACUCCCUCCGGACAUCCGUAUCAUCGACUCUCUUCCUCUGUUCAAAUCUAG